This 490-nucleotide ribosomal RNA is filed under the name uncultured bacterium. Its description in RNAcentral is "partial 16S ribosomal RNA". It matches the Rfam family "Bacterial small subunit ribosomal RNA", at positions 30 to 507 of the family's 1533-position model. The record is from RNAcentral.
AUUGAACGCUGGCGGCAGGCCUAACACAUGCAAGUCGAACGGUAACAGGAAGAAGCUUGCUUCUUUGCUGACGAGUGGCGGACGGGUGAGUAAUGUCUGGGAAACUGCCUGAUGGAGGGGGAUAACUACUGGAAACGGUAGCUAAUACCGCAUAACGUCGCAAGACCAAAAAGGGGGACCUUCGGGCCUCUUGCCAUCGGAUGUGCCCAGAUGGGAUUAGCUAGUAGGUGGGGUAACGGCUUACCUAGGCGACGAUCCCUAGCUGGUCUGAGAGGAUGACCAGCCACACUGGAACUGAGACACGGUCCAGACUCCUACGGGAGGCAGCAGUGGGGAAUAUUGCACAAUGGGCGCAAGCCUGAUGCAGCCAUGCCGCGUGUAUGAAGAAGGCCUUCGGGUUGUAAAGUACUUUCAGCGGGGAGGAAGGGAGUAAAGUUAAUACCUUUGCUCAUUGACGUUACCCGCAGAAGAAGCACCGGCUAACUCCGUG